CCUACGGGUGGCAGCAGUGAGGAAUAUUGGUCAAUGGGCGAGAGCCUGAACCAGCCAAGUCGCGUGAGGGAAGACGGUCCUAUGGAUUGUAAACCUCUUUUGCCGGGGAGCAAAAAGCGGUACGUGUACCGCAUCGAGAGUACCCGGAGAAAAAGCAUCGGCUAACUGCGUGCCAGCAGCCGCGGUAAUACGGAGAAUGAGAGCGUAAUCCGGAUUUUUUGGGUUUAAGGGGUGCGAGGGCGGCGGGUUAUGUCAGCGGUAAAAUUUCGGGGCCCAACCCCGACCAGCCGUUGAAACUGGCUUGCUAGAGUGGGCGAGAAGUAUGCGGAAUGCGUGGUGUAGCGGUGAAAUGCUUAGAUAUCACGAAGAACUCCGAUUGCGAAGGCAGCUCACUGAACUGCAACUGACACUGAGGCUCGAAAGUGUGGGUAUCAAACAGGAUUAGAUACCCUAGUAGUC
RNAcentral lists this ribosomal RNA (459 nucleotides) under uncultured bacterium. Its description in RNAcentral is "partial 16S ribosomal RNA". It matches the Rfam family "Bacterial small subunit ribosomal RNA", at positions 338 to 795 of the family's 1533-position model. The record is from RNAcentral.